GAAGAUUUUCACCCAUUGAGCUUGGAUUGAAGCUUCUUUGAGGUUAAUGUUUGAUCUUACGGUUGGUCGUAAUGCCCUCGUAUCUCUUCGCUGAUCACUUCUAGGGCAUUUUGAGGCUCGUGGGCAACUCCGUUCGGCGAAUCGAAGGAGCACGCGACGGUUCGAGCCUUCCACUCAGGGUGAGGCCAGGGAUCGCGGAAAGGG
This is a long non-coding RNA of Ananas comosus (pineapple), 204 nucleotides long. RefSeq lists it as uncharacterized. NCBI's taxonomy places the organism in Eukaryota, Viridiplantae, Streptophyta, Magnoliopsida, Poales, Bromeliaceae. The transcript is spliced from 3 exons. The record is from RefSeq and is a predicted model, not a curated record.